This 72-nucleotide transfer RNA is filed under the name Camelus bactrianus (Bactrian camel). It matches the Rfam family "tRNA". From Rfam's summary of the family: Transfer RNA (tRNA) molecules are approximately 80 nucleotides in length. Their secondary structure includes four short double-helical elements and three loops (D, anti-codon, and T loops). RNAcentral also lists the same sequence under 1 other name. The record is from Rfam by way of RNAcentral. Lineage: Eukaryota; Metazoa; Chordata; Mammalia; Artiodactyla; Camelidae.
GAGGGUAUAGCUCAGUGAUAGAGUGUGUGCUUAGCAUGCACAAGGUCCUGGGUUCAAUCCCCAGUACCGCUA